Molecule: long non-coding RNA, 520 nt
Organism: Saccostrea cuccullata (small rock oyster)
Lineage: Eukaryota; Metazoa; Mollusca; Bivalvia; Ostreida; Ostreidae
Exons: 4
Source: RefSeq, a predicted model, not a curated record
CUCGGUCAAGUAGAACCGACGGCGACGCGGCGACUGACUUUGAAGAGUUGGAAUUGAGUAUUAACAAGCAUCAAAGUCACUGUUGAAAGAUGUAAUGUACAACAUUUGAAAGGAUUACAAGGAUAAUUAUCAUUAUACAGAUCUCCCAGGAUGUGCUAUUUAAGUAUGUAAAGCUAAAGACAAGGAAGAAAUCACCAUUUUUAAAAGGUCUCCCAGGAUGUGCUGUUUAACUAUGUAAAGCUAAAGAAGAGGAAGAAAUCACCAUUUUAACAGGUUAAACUAAUGCCUAAAUUUAGUUUUUAGCUCACCUGAGCUGAAGGCUCAAGUGAGCUCUUCUGAUCACAUUUUGUCUGGUGUCUGUCUGUCUGUAAACUUUUCACAUUUUGGACUUCUUUUCAAGAACUGCUGGGCCAAUUUCAAGCAAACUUGCCAGUGGCACAAAGCAUCCUUGGAUGAAGGGUAUUCAAAAUUGUUCAAAUGGAAGGCCAAGCCCUCUUCCAAGGGAAGAUAAUUAUGAAUU